RNAcentral lists this unclassified non-coding RNA (179 nucleotides) under Glomeromycotina sp. RNAcentral describes it as "partial contains small subunit ribosomal RNA, internal transcribed spacer 1, and 5.8S ribosomal RNA". The stretch from base 1 to 47 matches the Rfam family "Eukaryotic small subunit ribosomal RNA", at positions 1785 to 1831 of the family's 1831-position model. The record is from RNAcentral. Lineage: Eukaryota; Fungi; Glomeromycota.
AAAGUCGUAACAAGGUUUCCGUAGGUGAACCUGCGGAAGGAUCAUUACUGAUUUAGCGGACCGAGCGUUAGCGAGGUUCUGCGGUCAUUUAUAUUUAAAACCCAGUCUUGAACGUAUAAAAUUUAUGUAUUAAUGAUAAAAUAAAAAGAUCACUUUCAACAACGGAUCUCUUGGCUCUC